Long non-coding RNA from Ornithodoros turicata, 349 nucleotides. RefSeq lists it as uncharacterized. NCBI's taxonomy places the organism in Eukaryota, Metazoa, Arthropoda, Arachnida, Ixodida, Argasidae. The transcript has 4 exons. The record is from RefSeq and is a predicted model, not a curated record.
UGCAGUAGUGGUGAUGCUCCUGCUAUUCCAAGUCGGCCGGAACGUCCAAGUACAGCACGCUGUACUCAGGGUCCAUUUACAGACUGUGAUCCAUUGCUGAUCAAUUCAAGCUGUCGUGGUACGGUAUCACAGCGGUCCACCAGAGAGGUGCCAAGUCUGUUUGAGACUACUGUCCCUUCUGUCCUACAUGAACCAGCAGGUCACCAGCACUCUGCCUCGUUUCUGCACACAUACAUAGAGCAGUCUCCCUGCCUGUCACCAUCUGUAACUCCCUUCAGUGAUUCUCAAAAUGAAUCAACUGGCCCUCCAUCUCCCAGUGUUCUGCAAAAGCUGCACCAAGCUAUCUUGA